RNAcentral lists this ribosomal RNA (1685 nucleotides) under human gut metagenome. Its description in RNAcentral is "bacterial LSU rRNA". It matches the Rfam family "Bacterial large subunit ribosomal RNA", at positions 277 to 1973 of the family's 2925-position model. The record is from RNAcentral.
GCAGGUUUACCUGUCGGGGUUGCGGGACUUAGAUAUGACAUGCGGCCGGUUAGCACAACCGUCUGGGAAGUCGGGCCAUAGAGGGUGACAGCCCCCUGUGCGAAAACUGAAAGCAGUCUAUAAGUAUCCCAAGUAGGUCGGCACACGUGAAACUCCGACUGAAUCCGGGGAGACCACUCUCCAAGGCUAAAUACUAGCUGAUGACCGAUAGUGAAACAGUACCGCGAGGGAAAGGUGAAAAAGUACCCCUUUUAGGGGAGUGAAAAGUAUCUGAAAUCAUGUGCCUGCAAAGUGUGGGAGCCCUUCUGGGGUGACCGCAUGCCUUUUGCAUAAUGAGCUUGCGACUUACUUUAAGCAGCCAGGUUAAGCCAUAGGCGGAGCCGAAGCGAAAGCGAGUGUUAAUAGCGCGUCAAGUUGCUUGAAGUAGACCCGAAGCUGAGUGAUCUAUCCAUGGUCAGGUUGAACCUCCGGUAACACGGAGUGGAGGACCGAACCGGUGAGCGUUGAAAAGCUUUCGGAUGAACUGUGGAUAGGAGCGAAAGACCAAUCAAACUCAGUGAUAGCUGGUUCUCUUCGAAAUAUCUUGAGGGAUAGCCUUACGCCAUUGACUUACGGGGGUAGAGCACUGAUUGUCCGCGGGUCCUUACCGGGAUACCAACGACUGUCAAACUUCGAAUACCGUUAAGUUUUACCGUAGGAGUCAGACUGUGGGGGAUAAGCUUCAUAGUCGAGAGGGAAACAACCCAGAUCGCCGUCUAAGGUCCCUAAUUUAAGCUAAGUGGUUUGAAGGAUGUGAAGUUGCGUAAACAACCAGGAUGUUGGCUUAGAGGCAGCCAUCAUUUAAAGAUCGCGUAAUAGCGCACUGGUCGAGUGAUUUUGCGCCGAAGAUGAUCGGGACUAAGCUUAAAACCGAAGACGCGGAUGUACAGCAAUGUACGUGGUAGAAGAGCGUUGUAUGAGGAGCGAAGCGUGAAUGAGAAUGAGCGUGGACUUCAUACAAGUGACCAUGCAAGCAUGAGUAGCGAAAAACCGGAUGGAAAUUCCGGUCACCGUAAGACCAAGGUUUCCCGGGGAAGGUUCGUCCGCCCGGGGUUAGCCGGAUCCUAAGGCCAGGCCGAAAGGCGUAGUCGAUGGACAACGGGUUAAUAUUCCCGUGCCGCCUUAACGGAGUGACGGAGUGACGCAGUAUGCUAAGCGAGCUGGCUAUAUGCCAGUCUAAUGUCGUAGGACGUCAGGGGUUAAAUGACCUGACAUCAAGUCUGAAAACGGAUGGGACUCGAAGCCUUCGGGUAACGGGGAUUCGCUGAUGCUUUGCUGACGAGAAAAGCUCCUAAACGUUGAUGUUUUGGCGUCCGUACCGUAAACCGACACAGGUGGUCGAGGCGAGUAGCCUAAGGUGCGCGAGUGAAACCACUUCAAGGAACUCGGCAAAUUAGCCCCGUAACUUUGGGAGAAGGGGUGCCGAACGGGUGCAUAGCCCGGACGGUUUCAACAAAGAGGCCGCGGCGACUGUUUAACAAAAACAUAGCUCUCUGCUAACUCGCAAGAGGAUGUAUAGGGAGUGACACGUGACCAAUGCCGAAAGGUCAAUCGGAUCCGUUAGCAGCAAUGCGAAGCGGUGAUGUGAAGCCCCGGUGAAUGUCGGCCGUAACUAUAACGGUCCUAAGGUAGCGAAAUUCCUUGUC